Molecule: ribosomal RNA, 253 nt
Filed under: uncultured bacterium
Lineage: Bacteria
Description: partial 16S ribosomal RNA
Rfam family: Bacterial small subunit ribosomal RNA
Source: RNAcentral
UACGUAGGGUGCGAGCGUUGUCCGGAAUUAUUGGGCGUAAAGAGCUCGUAGGCGGUUUGUUGCGUCGGCCGUGAAAACCUGCAGCUUAACUGUGGGCCUGCGGCCGAUACGGGCAGACUUGAGUUCGGUAGGGGAGACUGGAAUUCCUGGUGUAGCGGUGAAAUGCGCAGAUAUCAGGAGGAACACCGGUGGCUAAGGCGGCUCUCUAGUACGGUACUGACGCUGAGACGCGGAAGCGUGGGGAGCGAACAGG